GGGGUGUGGUCGGAUCCUGGGCUGUCUCCCUGGCGCCCAGUGCUCCCGGGCCUGAGCUGUUGGGAUUCGCGCUCCCGGCCGCGCAGCCCCCU
RNAcentral lists this microRNA precursor (92 nucleotides) under Canis lupus familiaris (dog). RNAcentral's name for it is "mir-8799 microRNA precursor family". It matches the Rfam family "mir-8799 microRNA precursor family". Lineage: Eukaryota; Metazoa; Chordata; Mammalia; Carnivora; Canidae. The record is from Rfam by way of RNAcentral. RNAcentral also lists the same sequence under 1 other name.